GGGGAUUUAGCUCAGUGGUAGGGCGCUUGCCUAGCAAGUGCAAGGCCCUGGGUUCAGUCCCCA
Molecule: transfer RNA, 63 nt
Filed under: Rattus norvegicus (Norway rat)
Lineage: Eukaryota; Metazoa; Chordata; Mammalia; Rodentia; Muridae
Rfam family: tRNA
About the family: Transfer RNA (tRNA) molecules are approximately 80 nucleotides in length. Their secondary structure includes four short double-helical elements and three loops (D, anti-codon, and T loops).
Source: Rfam by way of RNAcentral